CCCUUAGAUGUUCUGGGCUGCACGCGCGCUACACUGACAUGUUCAACAAGCCUCCUAGUUCGACAGGAUUUGGGAAAUCUUUGAACGCAUGUCGUGAUAGGGAUAGAUCAUUGCAAUUAUUGAUCUUGAACGAGGAAUUCCUAGUAAACGCGAGUCAUCAGCUCGCAUUGAUUACGUCCCUGCCCUUUGUACACACCGCCCGUCGCACCUACCGAUUGAAUGUUUCGGUGAAGAUUCCGGAUAGGACUUUUUUGAUUUAUUUCAAUUCUGUCUUAAAAGCUAUCUAAACCUCAACAUUUAGAGGAAGGUGAAGUCGUAACA
Molecule: ribosomal RNA, 321 nt
Filed under: uncultured eukaryote
Lineage: Eukaryota
Description: partial 18S ribosomal RNA
Rfam family: Eukaryotic small subunit ribosomal RNA
Source: RNAcentral